GAGCAAGAGCGUGGAUAAAUGGCGCAACUUGCAUUGAAGGUUGGCAAAAACAAUUUCCAAUGGCGAUUCUCCGUGCCUAUCAAAUUUAUUUAGUUUUGAAUAUGGCCUCGAACAAGUCGCUACAUU
This is a non-coding RNA of Cicer arietinum (chickpea), 126 nucleotides long. The record is from Rfam. Lineage: Eukaryota; Viridiplantae; Streptophyta; Magnoliopsida; Fabales; Fabaceae.